GGCAACAGUGAGAGCUGAGCGCUGAACAUCUCUACCUGCUUCCACCAGAUUGGCUUGAUUAAGUUCACCUGUUCACCUGCUCAGAGCACAUGCUCAAAACGUUUGAGCUUCAGUCAGUCACCCCUUUUUUUUUUGACAUGCUGCUAAGAGGAAGGAAGGCAGCUCUUGUGUGGACUCAGAAGACGUAACUGGUGGGGCGACGUGGCUUGGUUGGUCGAGCGGCCAUGCCAGCAACUUGAAGGUUCCAGGUUCACACAAUGAUUCAGUCCGUCAUUUACCAUGUUUCUAACUCACCUUCAACGUGGAGAAGAAACAACGAAAUGCACACGACACAGCCUCUAAGCCAAGAAGGUCCACCCAGCCAUCGAAAAAAGAAAAUACCUUUGCACAGAACGGAAAUCCUUCACCACCAACGAGCCACGAAAGGCCAUACCACAAGAGUAAGAGGAAGGGGAUAAAGGGACCUUCAUGCUUUGUUACAAGCACCUUGUUUUGCUACAUUUCUGAAUAAACACAGGCACCUUUGUAAAUAUUUCAUGUUUCAAUGUGUACACCUGGAGUUUAAAGACUUG
Long non-coding RNA from Nerophis ophidion (straightnose pipefish), 572 nucleotides. RefSeq lists it as uncharacterized. The record is from RefSeq and is a predicted model, not a curated record. The transcript is spliced from 3 exons. NCBI's taxonomy places the organism in Eukaryota, Metazoa, Chordata, Actinopteri, Syngnathiformes, Syngnathidae.